RNAcentral lists this ribosomal RNA (813 nucleotides) under uncultured Verrucomicrobiales bacterium. RNAcentral describes it as "SSU rRNA". It matches the Rfam family "Bacterial small subunit ribosomal RNA", at positions 32 to 852 of the family's 1533-position model. Lineage: Bacteria; Pseudomonadati; Verrucomicrobiota; Verrucomicrobiia; Verrucomicrobiales. The record is from RNAcentral.
AACGCNGGCGGCGUGGAUAAGACAUGCAAGUCGAGCGAUGAUCCAACGAUAGCAAUAUUGGAGGGGAUUAGCGGCGAACGGGUGAGUAACACGUAGGAAUCUGCCCUGAAGUUCGGAAUAGCCCGGUGAGAGCCGGGAUAAUACCGGAUGUGAUCUUCGGAUUAAAGGCUUCGGCCGUUUCAGGAUGAGCCUGCGCUCCAUCAGCUUGUUGGUAGGGUAAAAGCCUACCAAGGCGAGGACGGAUAGCUGGUCUGAGAGGACGGCCAGCCACAAUGGAACUGAGACACGGUCCAUACACCUACGGGUGGCAGCAGUCGAGAAUCAUUCACAAUGGGCGAAAGCCUGAUGGUGCGACGCCGCGUGGGGGAUGAAGGCCUUCGGGUCGUAAACCCCUGUCGGUUGUGAGUAAGGCCCGGCUUACGUCGGGAUUGAUAUUAGCAACAAAGGAAGGGGCGGCUAACUCCGUGCCAGCAGCCGCGGUAAUACGGAGGCCCCAAGCGUUGUUCGGAUUUACUGGGCGUAAAGCGUGCGUAGGCGGCGAGGUAAGUUUGGCGUGAAAGCCCCGGGCCCAACCCGGGAAAUGCGCUGAAAACUACUUCACUAGAGGUGUGGAGGGGAGUCUGGAAUUCCUGGUGUAGCAGUGAAAUGCGUAGAUAUCAGGAGGAACAUCAGUGGCGAAGGCGAGACUCUGGAAACAUUCUGACGCUGAGGUACGAAGGCUAGGGGAGCGAAGAGGAUUAGAUACCCUCGUAGUCCUAGCAGUAAACGGUGUGCACUUGCUGUGGGGGGAUUCGACCCCUUCCGNGGCGAAGC